UUCAGAAGCAUUCAUUUGGUUGAGGCCUGUACUACUAAGUCAGUUCAACAUACCCAGGGUAUCUUCUCGUUAUCUGGUUUAACUAACCCUAACAAAUGAGAUCCCACUAAGCGCUCCUACGACGGUGGUGAUCAACUCGGUAAAUCAACCCAGGGUUUCUCAUUCUGGCUAUGAGUGCGUUCACAUGAACGGAGAGGUUAGCAGCAUCUGACCAAUCACAGACAUGGACAAGUC
Molecule: long non-coding RNA, 234 nt
Organism: Sebastes umbrosus (honeycomb rockfish)
Lineage: Eukaryota; Metazoa; Chordata; Actinopteri; Perciformes; Sebastidae
Exons: 4
Source: RefSeq, a predicted model, not a curated record